AGCGCAGGCGGUUGGGUAAGUCCAAAGUGAAAGCCCGGGGCUCAACCUCGGAAGUGCUUUGGAUACUGCUCGACUCGAGUUCGUGAGAGGAAAGCGGAAUUCCAGGUGUAGCGGUGAAAUGCGUAGAUAUCUGGAGGAACACCGGUGGCGAAAGCGGCUUUCUGGCGCGAUACUGACGCUGAGGCUCGAAAGCAUGGGGAGCGAACAGGAUUAGAUACCCUGGUAGUCCAUGCUGUAAACGUUGUGCACUAGGUGUGGGAGGUAUCGACCCCUUCCGUGCCGCAGCUAACGCAUUAAGUGCACCGCCUGGGGAGUACGGUCGCAAGGCUGAA
Molecule: ribosomal RNA, 332 nt
Filed under: uncultured bacterium
Lineage: Bacteria
Description: bacterial SSU rRNA
Rfam family: Bacterial small subunit ribosomal RNA
Source: RNAcentral